UCAAGUCUGAAGCCUCGGUAUUUAUGUGGUUUAUGGUGCCUGAUUACUUCUUCAGUGAUCAAAUUUUGGUACCGCUCAGUUGCAUCUUGCAUGCUAACAUGUCAUCAUGGAGAAUUAAACUUCAGAAUUUUAUCUAAUUAAAAAGAAAGAAGUGGCAAAACAGUUCUCAAAUUUUCAACAGAAGCUGCAAUCCAUUCCUGAUUCUGGAUCCUUUGUCAAAGUAUGUACAGCUACUUACAUCACAGAUUCAGGUAACAAAAUGCAGCCAACAGAAUUCCCUAUCAACGAACAAACAAUUGGAAAGUAGGAAACAAGUGGAAAAUUUUGCUCCUGAUUGCUUGAUCAAUCAUGCCAGGUCAUGAGCAUCGCUACACAUCGACGGAUGAUAUAGAGCCUGGCCUUCUGCUGUUUCAGUGCCCUCUUGAGGCCCUUGAGCUUCAGAUCAUGAGCACCCAUCCUCAUCUUCAUAUUGAGAUGUCAAAAGGUGGUUGAAGAUGAUGAUCAGACAGCUUUCCGGUUGGGUUUGGAUUUUUGAGAAGUUGGUUAUGUUG
This 551-nucleotide long non-coding RNA is filed under the name Setaria italica (foxtail millet). Its description in RNAcentral is "long non-coding RNA (SITA_LNC001278)". The record is from RNAcentral. Lineage: Eukaryota; Viridiplantae; Streptophyta; Magnoliopsida; Poales; Poaceae.